RNAcentral lists this ribosomal RNA (433 nucleotides) under uncultured bacterium. RNAcentral's name for it is "partial 16S ribosomal RNA". It matches the Rfam family "Bacterial small subunit ribosomal RNA", at positions 29 to 507 of the family's 1533-position model. The record is from RNAcentral.
AACGAACGCUGGCGGCAUGCCUAACACAUGCAAGUCGAACGAGACCUUCGGGUCUAGUGGCGCACGGGUGCGUAACGCGUGGGAAUCUGCCCUUGGGUUCGGAAUAACAGUUGGAAACGACUGCUAAUACCGGAUGAUGACGUAAGUCCAAAGAUUUAUCGCCCAAGGAUGAGCCCGCGUAGGAUUAGCUAGUUGGUGAGGUAAAGGCUCACCAAGGCGACGAUCCUUAGCUGGUCUGAGAGGAUGAUCAGCCACACUGGGACUGAGACACGGCCCAGACUCCUACGGGAGGAAGCAGUGGGGAAUAUUGGACAAUGGGCGAAAGCCUGAUCCAGCAAUGCCGCGUGAGUGAUGAAGGCCUUAGGGUUGUAAAGCUCUUUUACCCGGGAUGAUAAUGACAGUACCGGGAGAAUAAGCGCCGGCUAACUCCGUG